This 253-nucleotide ribosomal RNA is filed under the name uncultured bacterium. RNAcentral's name for it is "partial 16S ribosomal RNA". It matches the Rfam family "Bacterial small subunit ribosomal RNA", at positions 524 to 776 of the family's 1533-position model. The record is from RNAcentral.
UACGAAAGGGGCUAGAGUUAUUCGGAAUUACUGGGCGUACAGCGCACGGAGGCGGCCUGCCAAGUUAGGGGUGAAAGCCCAGAGCUCAACUCUGGAAUUGCCUCUAAAACUGGUAAGCUCGAGGAUGUGAGAGGUGAGUGGAAUUCCGAGUGUAGAGGUGAAAUUCGUAGAUAUUCGGAAGAACACCGGUCGCGAAGGAGAAUCUCGGGCACAUUUCUGACCUUGAGGUGGGAAAGCGUGGGGAGCAAACAGG